ACCAAUGGAUAGUGCAGUCGGUAGAGCACGAGCCUCUUAAUCUCAAGGUCGUGGUUUCGAGCCCCAUGUUGGGCA
This 75-nucleotide transfer RNA is filed under the name Podarcis lilfordi (Lilford's wall lizard). RNAcentral describes it as "tRNA.Lys". The record is from RNAcentral. Lineage: Eukaryota; Metazoa; Chordata; Lepidosauria; Squamata; Lacertidae.